GACGAACGCUGGCGGCGCGCCUAACACAUGCAAGUCGAACGAGAGAGAGGAAGCUUGCUUCCCUAAUCGAGUGGCGAACGGGUGAGUAACGCGUGAGGAACCUGCCUCAAAGAGGGGGACAACAGUUGGAAACGACUGCUAAUACCGCAUAAGCCCACAGCUCGGCAUCGAGCAGAGGGAAAAGGAGUGAUCCGCUUUGAGAUGGCCUCGCGUCCGAUUAGCUAGUUGGUGGGGUAACGGCCUACCAAGGCGACGAUCAGUAGCCGACCUGAGAGGGUGACCGGCCACAUUGGGACUGAGACACGGCCCAA
This 311-nucleotide ribosomal RNA is filed under the name uncultured bacterium. Its description in RNAcentral is "bacterial SSU rRNA". It matches the Rfam family "Bacterial small subunit ribosomal RNA", at positions 28 to 334 of the family's 1533-position model. The record is from RNAcentral.